UGGCUCAGUCAGUAGAGCAUGUGACUCUUGAUCUCAGGGCCGUGAGUUCCAGUCCCAC
RNAcentral lists this transfer RNA (58 nucleotides) under Felis catus (domestic cat). It matches the Rfam family "tRNA", at positions 8 to 63 of the family's 71-position model. From Rfam's summary of the family: Transfer RNA (tRNA) molecules are approximately 80 nucleotides in length. Their secondary structure includes four short double-helical elements and three loops (D, anti-codon, and T loops). Further hydrogen bonds mediate the characteristic L-shaped molecular structure. tRNAs have two regions of fundamental functional importance: the anti-codon, which is responsible for specific mRNA codon recognition, and the 3' end, to which the tRNAs corresponding amino acid is attached (by aminoacyl-tRNA synthetases). tRNAs cope with the degeneracy of the genetic code in two manners: having more than one tRNA (with a specific anti-codon) for a particular amino acid; and 'wobble' base-pairing, i.e. permitting non-standard base-pairing at the 3rd anti-codon position. The record is from Rfam by way of RNAcentral. Lineage: Eukaryota; Metazoa; Chordata; Mammalia; Carnivora; Felidae.